AUGGCUCGGUAUACAAAUCAAGUGCAUGUGUAUGCACUUGUAAUCAUGUUAAUAUGUACUUUCUUCGCAACUUCGCAGGCUCGUAAUCUCCAUGAUCAUCUAUUGGUCCACGUUCAUGUUGACAGCAAAAACCUUCUCCAUAAAUUAGGUAUUCACACAUCAUAUCAUAAACAAAUUAAAGAUGCAGGAGAUAGACUCUCACCAGGAGGACCUGAUCCUCAGCAUAAUGGAAAAUCACCACCAACCAAGUAA
Molecule: non-coding RNA, 252 nt
Organism: Vicia faba (fava bean)
Lineage: Eukaryota; Viridiplantae; Streptophyta; Magnoliopsida; Fabales; Fabaceae
Source: the annotation of a GenBank genome assembly